Molecule: ribosomal RNA, 156 nt
Organism: Malania oleifera
Lineage: Eukaryota; Viridiplantae; Streptophyta; Magnoliopsida; Santalales; Ximeniaceae
Product: 5.8S ribosomal RNA
Exons: 1
Source: RefSeq, a predicted model, not a curated record
GAUUCUUAGCAACGAAUAUCUAGGCUCUUACAUUGAUGAAGAACGCAGCAAAAUACAAUACUUGGUGUGAAUCGCAGAAUCCCGUGAAUCAUCGAGUCCUUGCACGCAAGUUGCACCCAAAACCAUCAGGCUAAGGGUACGUCUGCCUGGGUGUCA